This 252-nucleotide ribosomal RNA is filed under the name uncultured bacterium. RNAcentral's name for it is "partial 16S ribosomal RNA". It matches the Rfam family "Bacterial small subunit ribosomal RNA", at positions 524 to 776 of the family's 1533-position model. The record is from RNAcentral.
UACGGAGGAUGCGAGCGUUAUCCGGAUUUAUUGGGUUUAAAGGGUGCGUAGGCGGAUCGUUAAGUCAGUGGUCAAAUUGAGGGGCUCAACCUCUUCCCGCCGUUGAAACUGGUGGUCUUGAGUGGAUGAGAAGUACGCGGAAUGCGUGGUGUAGCGGUGAAAUGCAUAGAUAUCACGCAGAACUCCGAUUGCGAAGGCAGCGUACCGGCAUCCAACUGACGCUGAGGCACGAAAGCGUGGGGAUCAAACAGG